AGGACUAACGCUGGCGGCGUGCCUAACACAUGCAAGUCGAACGAGAGUAGCAAUACUCUAGUGGCAGACGGGUGAGUAACACGUGGUCAACCUACCUUUAAGUGGGGGAUAACUAGCCGAAAGGUUAGCUAAUACCGCAUACGAUCUUCGCGUGGCAUCACAUGAAGAUGAAAGGAGCAAUCCGCUGAAAGACGGGACCGCGUCCCAUUAGCCAGUUGGUGGGGUAACGGCCUACCAAAGCAACGAUGGGUAGCUGGCUUGAGAGAGCGACCAGCCACACUGGGACUGAGACACGGCCCAGACUCCUACGGGAGGCAGCAGUGAGGAAUUUUCCGCAAUGGGCGAAAGCCUGACGGAGCGACGCCGCGUGUGGGAUGAAGGCCUUCGGGUCGUAAACCACUGUCGAAGGGGAAGAUAUUGACGGUACCUUGGAGGAAGCCCGGCUAACUACGCGCCAGCAGCCGC
This 465-nucleotide ribosomal RNA is filed under the name uncultured bacterium. RNAcentral describes it as "SSU rRNA". It matches the Rfam family "Bacterial small subunit ribosomal RNA", at positions 26 to 518 of the family's 1533-position model. The record is from RNAcentral.